This 400-nucleotide ribosomal RNA is filed under the name uncultured bacterium. RNAcentral describes it as "bacterial SSU rRNA". It matches the Rfam family "Bacterial small subunit ribosomal RNA", at positions 975 to 1375 of the family's 1533-position model. The record is from RNAcentral.
CAGGUCUUGACAUCCUCGGAAUUUGGCAGAGAUGCCUUAGUGCCUUCGGGAGCCGAGUGACAGGUGCUGCAUGGCCGUCGUCAGCUCGUGUCGUGAGAUGUUGGGUUAAGUCCCGUAACGAGCGCAACCCUUGUCCUUAGUUGCCAGCACUUCGGGUGGGAACUCUAGGGAGACUACCGGUGACAAACCGGAGGAAGGUGGGGACGACGUCAGGUCAUCAUGGCCCUUACGACCUGGGCUACACACGUGCUACAAUGGCUGGUACAGAGGGUUGCUAAGUCGCGAGGCGGAGCCAAUCCCUUAAAGCCAGUCGUAGUCCGGAUUGGAGUCUGCAACUCGACUCCAUGAAGCCGGAAUUGCUAGUAAUCGCGCAUCAGCACGGCGCGGUGAAUACGUUCCC